AUUUCUCCCAGCCAGGCUAUGUUAGCUGCAGGGCCAGGCAGAAACCGUCUCCAGGUGGCACCUCAGCGUCCUCAUGCUGUGCUUCUCCUCAUGUCCAAACCUUUUAGAGAAGGACACGUUGAAUGUAUCAUUGUAAAAAUGCUUUGUUUGCAGGCAAAGCAAGCAGCAGCUGGAGGAGGAGCAGAAGAAAGCACUGUAUGGUUUGGAAGCUGCGGAGGACGUGGAGGAGUGGCAAGUCGUCUGUGGGAAGUUUCUGGCCAUCAAUGCCACAAACAUGUCCUGUGCUUGUCGCCGGAGCCCCAGGGGCCUCUCCCCGGCUGCCCACUUGGGAGAUGGGUCUUCUGACCUCAUCCUCAUCCGGAAAUGCUCCAGGUUCAAUUUUCUGAGAUUUCUCAUCAGGCACACCAACCAGCAGGACCAGUUUGACUUCACUUUUGUUGAAGUUUAUCGCGUCAAGAAAUUCCAGUUUACGUCGAAGCACAUGGAGGAUGAGGACAGCGACCUCAAGGAGGGGGGGAAGAAGCGCUUUGGGCACAUUUGCAGCAGCCACCCCUCCUGCUGCUGCAC
This 567-nucleotide small RNA is filed under the name Pan troglodytes (chimpanzee). Its description in RNAcentral is "processed transcript". The record is from RNAcentral. Lineage: Eukaryota; Metazoa; Chordata; Mammalia; Primates; Hominidae.